UAGCCAUGGUGAGGGCAUUGAAUAGGAAAACCUCUCCCAUGCCUCAUGGAACGGCUCGCCUUCAGCUUGCGAGAAAUUUGCAAUCUUUCUUCUCAAUUC
RNAcentral lists this small nucleolar RNA (99 nucleotides) under Ipomoea nil (Japanese morning glory). RNAcentral's name for it is "Plant small nucleolar RNA R71". It matches the Rfam family "Plant small nucleolar RNA R71". Rfam says of the family: R71 is a member of the C/D box family of snoRNAs containing the C (UGAUGA) and D (CUGA) box motifs. Multiple nearly identical copies of this snoRNA have been identified in Arabidopsis, and it is thought to function as a 2'-O-ribose methylation guide for 18S ribosomal RNA. The record is from Rfam by way of RNAcentral. Lineage: Eukaryota; Viridiplantae; Streptophyta; Magnoliopsida; Solanales; Convolvulaceae.